CGGUGAUUAGCGUAGCCUGGUAGCGCACUAUCUUAGGGAGGUAGUGGUCGCGGGUUCAAAUCCCGCAUCACCGACCA
Molecule: transfer RNA, 77 nt
Filed under: Succinatimonas hippei
Lineage: Bacteria; Pseudomonadati; Pseudomonadota; Gammaproteobacteria; Aeromonadales; Succinivibrionaceae
Also listed under: 1 other name
Description: tRNA-Pro
Rfam family: tRNA
About the family: Transfer RNA (tRNA) molecules are approximately 80 nucleotides in length. Their secondary structure includes four short double-helical elements and three loops (D, anti-codon, and T loops).
Source: RNAcentral